This 74-nucleotide ribosomal RNA is filed under the name Fusarium graminearum. RNAcentral's name for it is "partial 28S ribosomal RNA". The record is from RNAcentral. Lineage: Eukaryota; Fungi; Ascomycota; Sordariomycetes; Hypocreales; Nectriaceae.
UUGACCUCGGAUCAGGUAGGAAUACCCGCUGAACUUAAGCAUAUCAAUAAGCGGAGGAAAAUCCCCCCCCCCCC